CGGAGCUUGCUCCACCGGAAAAAGAAGAGUGGCGAACGGGUGAGUAACACGUGGGUAACCUGCCCAUCAGAAGGGGAUAACACUUGGAAACAGGUGCUAAUACCGUAUAACAAUCGAAACCGCAUGGUUUUGAUUUGAAAGGCGCUUUCGGGUGUCGCUGAUGGAUGGACCCGCGGUGCAUUAGCUAGUUGGUGAGGUAACGGCUCACCAAGGCCACGAUGCAUAGCCGACCUGAGAGGGUGAUCGGCCACAUUGGGACUGAGACACGGCCCAAACUCCUACGGGAGGCAGCAGUAGGGAAUCUUCGGCAAUGGACGAAAGUCUGACCGAGCAACGCCGCGUGAGUGAAGAAGGUUUUCGGAUCGUAAAACUCUGUUGUUAGAGAAGAACAAGGAUGAGAGUAACUGUUCAUCCCUUGACGGUAUCUAACCAGAAAGCCACGGCUAACUACGUGCCAGCAGCCGCGGUAAUACGUAGGUGGCAAGCGUUGUCCGGAUUUAUUGGGCGUAAAGCGAGCGCAGGCGGUUUCUUAAGUCUGAUGUGAAAGCCCCCGGCUCAACCGGGGAGGGUCAUUGGAAACUGGGAGACUUGAGUGCAGAAGAGGAGAGUGGAAUUCCAUGUGUAGCGGUGAAAUGCGUAGAUAUAUGGAGGAACACCAGUGGCGAAGGCGGCUCUCUGGUCUGUAACUGACGCUGAGGCUCGAAAGCGUGGGGAGCAAACAGGAUUAGAUACCCUGGUAGUCCACGCCGUAAACGAUGAGUGCUAAGUGUUGGAGGGUUUCCGCCCUUCAGUGCUGCAGCUAACGCAUUAAGCACUCCGCCUGGGGAGUACGACCGCAAGGUUGAAACUCAAAGGAAUUGACGGGGGCCCGCACAAGCGGUGGAGCAUGUGGUUUAAUUCGAAGCAACGCGAAGAACCUUACCAGGUCUUGACAUCCUUUGACCACUCUAGAGAUAGAGCUUCCCCUUCGGGGGCAAAGUGACAGGUGGUGCAUGGUUGUCGUCAGCUCGUGUCGUGAGAUGUUGGGUUAAGUCCCGCAACGAGCGCAACCCUUAUUGUUAGUUGCCAUCAUUUAGUUGGGCACUCUAGCAAGACUGCCGGUGACAAACCGGAGGAAGGUGGGGAUGACGUCAAAUCAUCAUGCCCCUUAUGACCUGGGCUACACACGUGCUACAAUGGGAAGUACAACGAGUCGCGAAGUCGCGAGGCUAAGCUAAUCUCUUAAAGCUUCUCUCAGUUCGGAUUGUAGGCUGCAACUCGCCUACAUGAAGCCGGAAUCGCUAGUAAUCGCGGAUCAGCACGCCGCGGUGAAUACGUUCCCGGGCCUUGUACACA
Molecule: ribosomal RNA, 1335 nt
Filed under: Enterococcus durans
Lineage: Bacteria; Bacillati; Bacillota; Bacilli; Lactobacillales; Enterococcaceae
Description: bacterial SSU rRNA
Rfam family: Bacterial small subunit ribosomal RNA
Source: RNAcentral